ACGCUGGCUGUGUGCCUAAUACAUGCAUGUCGAGCGAGGUUAGCAAUAACCCAGCGGCGAAUGGGUGAGUAACACGUGCUUAAUCUACCUUUUAGAUUGGAAUACCCAUUGGAAACAAUGGCUAAUGCCGGAUACGCAUGGAACCGCAUGGUUCCGUUGUGAAAGGCGCUGUAAGGCGCCACUAAAAGAUGAGGGUGCGGAACAUUAGUUAGUUGGUGAGGUAAUGGCCCACCAAGACUAUGAUGUUUAGCCGGGUCGAGAGACUGAACGGCCACAUUGGGACUGAGAUACGGCCCAAACUCCUACGGGAGGCAGCAGUAGGGAAUAUUCCACAAUGAGCGAAAGCUUGAUGGAGCGACACAGCGUGCACGAUGAAGGUCUUCGGAUUGUAAAGUGCUGUUAUAAGGGAAGAACAUUUGCAAUAGGAAAUGAUUGCAGACUGACGGUACCUUGUCAGAAAGCGAUGGCUAACUAUGUGCCAGCAGCCGCGGUAAUACAUAGGUCGCAAGCGUUAUCCGGAAUUAUUGGGCGUAAAGCGUUCGUAGGCUGUUUGUUAAGUCUGGAGUUAAAUCCCGGGGCUCAACCCCGGCUCGCUUUGGAUACUAGCAAACUAGAGUUAGAUAGAGGUAAGCGGAAUUCCAUGUGAAGCGGUGAAAUGCGUAGAUAUAUGGAAGAACACCAAAGGCGAAGGCAGCUUACUGGGUCUAUACUGACGCUGAGGGACGAAAGCGU
This 732-nucleotide ribosomal RNA is filed under the name uncultured Mycoplasma sp. RNAcentral describes it as "bacterial SSU rRNA". It matches the Rfam family "Bacterial small subunit ribosomal RNA", at positions 33 to 762 of the family's 1533-position model. Lineage: Bacteria; Bacillati; Mycoplasmatota; Mollicutes; Mycoplasmatales; Mycoplasmataceae. The record is from RNAcentral.